AUUGAACGCUGGCGGCAUGCUUUACACAUGCAAGUCGAACGGCAGCGCGGGCUUCGGCCUGGUGGCGUGUUGCGAACGGGUGGGUAAUUAAUCGGUACGUACCCUGUCUAGGGGGCUAGCACGGCUACAGGCGGCUUGAUCUCACAUCCGACCAUAUGUUGAACGCGGGGGUUCUUCAGACCUCGCGGUUUUUGCUCUGCCUAUUGGAUGUAACCGUGCUGGAUUAGCUAGUUGGUAAGGUAACGGCCUACCAAGGCGACGAUGCGUAGCCGACCUGAGAGGGCGACCAGCCACACUGGGACUGAGACACGGCCCAGACUCCUACGGGAGGCAGCAGUGGGGAAUCUUGGACAAUGGGCGAAAGCCUGAUCCAGCAACGCCGCGUGUGUGAUGAAGGCCUUCGGGUUGUAAAGCACUGUUGGCGGGGACGAAAAGAACUGUGACAAAACCAGGGCUCGAUGACGGUACCUGCAGAGAAAGCACCGGCUAACUACGUG
This 497-nucleotide ribosomal RNA is filed under the name uncultured bacterium. Its description in RNAcentral is "partial 16S ribosomal RNA". It matches the Rfam family "Bacterial small subunit ribosomal RNA", at positions 30 to 507 of the family's 1533-position model. The record is from RNAcentral.